UCCUUGAUAGUAUAGUGGUGAGUAUCUCUACCUGUCACGUGGAAGGCCCAGGUUUGAUUCCCGGUCGAGGAG
This 72-nucleotide transfer RNA is filed under the name Trichobilharzia regenti. It matches the Rfam family "tRNA". From Rfam's summary of the family: Transfer RNA (tRNA) molecules are approximately 80 nucleotides in length. Their secondary structure includes four short double-helical elements and three loops (D, anti-codon, and T loops). Lineage: Eukaryota; Metazoa; Platyhelminthes; Trematoda; Strigeidida; Schistosomatidae. The record is from Rfam by way of RNAcentral.